GGAACACGCGACGUCACUCAAUGUGACUAAAUUGGCAGCGAAGACGAAUAAUCGACGAUAAUACGAUAUUCGACCAAAUCUGUUAAAAUCGCUGAAAGCUUUAAAUGAUGAAUAUUGCGUGAGCUCGAGUUUCGAUUUACGGAAGCGGUUUACGUGUGCAUGUCGUUGGGACUAUCGCUGUUACGAAUCUAGAUUUCCAUUGGCUUGGCGCCGAUUACCGGGUCUGACUACUGCUAGAUCUGUGCAAUAUAAUCGUGGCUUUCACUUUCGAUUUCCGUGAACGUCGGUUCGCGAACUCCAAAACGACGGAAACAAUCUCGCGCGCGAGAGGUUUCUAGAUCGCCGAGAUGAUCUCGAAAUCUAGUUGGAUUGGUGCUGUUUUAUUGCGAAGGCGGAACGAUUACGCGAAUGAAAACGCAAUGAGAAAGCGCCCGAAUGCAUCAACGGAAAAAUCGACGAGAUUAGAUACUCGUAACUACGCGCCGUAACGUUUCGUAAUCAACUUGAUAGCGCCCCUACCCUUCGCGUCGGUUAUUCUGGUCACCAUUCCUGAUUACCGUAUUAGGAAAAUUCUUAUAGACCCGUUAAUAGACCAUUGCAUGCGCAACGCGUAUCGUCGGACCGUAAAAAAAAGUAGUCGCGAUUGCAUAAAAUCCGCGCGGACGACUAAACACGAAAUAUUGCAUGCGAUUUAUAAUUAACCGAUAAUCGAUCAUAUUCAUUUCUCUUAAUUAUGAAAAAUUAAAUCCCCCGAUUUGAAUCGCGAAUGUCAAUUUCAGAUACGCGAGUUUGCGUAUCCGAAAUCGACCAUUCGUUAUUAAAAUUGGGGGAGUUAACUUUUCAUAAUUAAGAAAAAUCCGCGGUUUAUAAUUUAAUUGGGUCUCAGGUCAUAGAAUUCGUAGGAAUUUUCUGAGAUUAAAAAAGACAAAUCUCAACAAGUUACGUCACGUACCUGGCGUUCAAAGUCGUAACGCUUACGGCUCGUAAUACGGGAAGCGGCGUUUAGAAAGGAAGUGUUUCGUGCGAUCGUAGAACUGUCGAGCAGCCGGCUGAUUAGAUAUAUCGGUGUAUACGUAACCGAUAUUUCGCGAUCGCGUGCGAGCGGUAUUAGACGGCGCGUGUGUCACGCCCGGUUUGAGACCGUUGCAAACUUAAAUGGCACCGCGGCCUGGAAUUAUGCAUAUCUAACGACUACGCGAAACUUUCACAUCCCGUUUACGCGGAAUGAACGACUAUCUCGCGGCCGCGCUCGUGUGACGUGGUCGACCGAGCGUUCCCGCGACCUCGCGAUCGGAAAAGGAUCAAACGUGCCGAUUUCAAAAUCGCCUUGCGCGAUUGAGCGCCGAGUAUAUUUCCAUCGGCCCUGAGAAAUUGCAAAGGCAUUCCGAGGUCUGGCGCAACGGUUAAGAUAUCAUUAUCGACAAUGUUAUUGAUAAUAUAGGACGGUACGAGGCAGAACGUAAUUCCGGUGUUAUCCUGAUUCAAUGGAUAUUGUGUGACGUGAAAAGACGGGGAAAGUCAAGAGAAAUGCAACGGCAGAGGAUGCAAGAGUGAUGGCAAGGUAUGUGCAAUCCCGAGAACGCGAGAUUCGUGAAUGAAGAUGCGUCUACGCGGAAUAGAACUGGUCGCGUGUUAAUCCGCUCACUCAAUGACGAUGAUGAUACUACCUACAACCGGUUUUCGCCGAGAGUCGGCGCGCGAUGCGGUAAGAUUUCUUUGCUUUAUGAAUGAAAGUCGUCGGUUCGUCUGUUUGUUGCGUCUGUCUGCCUGUGGAGAAAAACAGCGAGAGAGUAUCCCAACCGUGACAUUGAAUCGUCGUCGGUUUUAUCGCGGACUCAAUAAGAAGCGGAGAAACGAAAAAGUACAAUGGAGACAUUAAUAGAUGUAUUAUCGACGUAUAUAUUUAUGAAAGAAAGCUGUCGAGCUUGCAAAACGAUCGUAUUUACUUUCCGUUUGCAGAUAUGUCACCGCGUUCAAAUCUUGCAUUAACCUAGUUUCUUGUUUGGUUUCAAUUAAGGAGCGCCAGAACGAAAUAUUACGGAAAUAAGCGCUUACAGAGAUAAACUUUCGCAGUGAUUACAAGAAAGGGCAGAAUUUUAUGAGAUUCCAUUAAGGACUCAAUGUUAUUCCAAGAAUCAAAGAGUUUUCAGAUCGACACUGUUUAUUCACGGCGAAGAAGAGAAGUAUCCAAUCGAGAAACUAUAAUAAUUUCGAUCGAAAAAAAAAACGCGUGAUUUUGAGAAUAAAU
Long non-coding RNA from Trachymyrmex cornetzi, 2248 nucleotides. RefSeq lists it as uncharacterized. The record is from RefSeq and is a predicted model, not a curated record. The transcript is spliced from 2 exons. Lineage: Eukaryota; Metazoa; Arthropoda; Insecta; Hymenoptera; Formicidae.